This 301-nucleotide ribosomal RNA is filed under the name uncultured bacterium. Its description in RNAcentral is "partial 16S ribosomal RNA". It matches the Rfam family "Bacterial small subunit ribosomal RNA", at positions 509 to 807 of the family's 1533-position model. The record is from RNAcentral.
CAGUCGCCGCGGGAAUACGUAGGUGGCAAGCGUUGUCCGGAAUUAUUGGGCGUAAAGGGCUCGCAGGCGGUUUCUUAAGUCUGAUGUGAAAGCCCCCGGCUCAACCGGGGAGGGUCAUUGGAAACUGGGAAACUUGAGUGCAGAAGAGGAGAGUGGAAUUCCACGUGUAGCGGUGAAAUGCGUAGAGAUGUGGAGGAACACCAGUGGCGAAGGCGACUCUCUGGUCUGUAACUGACGCUGAGGAGCGAAAGCGUGGGGAGCGAACAGGAUUAGAUACCCGUGUAGUCCCUGUCUCUUAUAC